GACGAACGCUGGCGGCGUGCUUAACACAUGCCAGUCGAACGGAAAGGCCCUGCUUUUGUGUGGUGCUCGAGUUGCGAACGGGUGAGUAACACGUGAGUAACCUGCCCUUCACUUUGGGAUAACUUCAGGAAACUGAGGCUAAUACCUGCUAGGAGCUCCUGCUUCAUGGUGGGGGUUGGAAAGGUUCGGCGGUUGGGGAUGAACUCGGGGCUUAUCAGCUUGUUGGUGGGGUAGUGGCGUACCAAGGCUGUGACGGGUAGCCGGCCUGGGAGGGUGACCGGGCACAUAGGGACUGAGAUAGGGGCAAGACUGAUACGGGAGGAAGCAGUGGGGAAUAUUGGACAAUAGGCGGAGGCCUGAUGCAGCAACGCCGCGUGCGGGAGGACGGUUUUCGGGUUGUAAACCGCUUUGGCCGGUGACGAAGAGUGAGUGACGGUAAUGGGAAAAGAAGCAACGGCUAACUACGUG
RNAcentral lists this ribosomal RNA (468 nucleotides) under uncultured bacterium. Its description in RNAcentral is "partial 16S ribosomal RNA". It matches the Rfam family "Bacterial small subunit ribosomal RNA", at positions 28 to 507 of the family's 1533-position model. The record is from RNAcentral.